RNAcentral lists this ribosomal RNA (497 nucleotides) under uncultured bacterium. RNAcentral's name for it is "partial 16S ribosomal RNA". It matches the Rfam family "Bacterial small subunit ribosomal RNA", at positions 30 to 523 of the family's 1533-position model. The record is from RNAcentral.
AUUGAACGCUGGCGGCAUGCCUUCACAUGCAAGUCGAACGGUAACAGGUCUUCGGAUGCUGACGAGUGGCGAACGGGUGAGUAAUACAUCGGAACGUGCCUAGUAGUGGGGGAUAACUACUCGAAAGAGGGGCUAAUACCGCAUGAGAUCUAAGGAUGAAAGCGGGGGAGCGCAGGACGUUGUGCUACGAGAGCGGCCGAUGGCAGAUUAGGUAGUUGGUGGGAUAAAAGCUUACCAAGCCGACGAUCUGUAGCUGGUCUGAGAGGACGAUCAGCCACACUGGGACUGAGACACGGCCCAGACUCCUACGGGAGGCAGCAGCGGGGAAUUUUGGACAAUGGGCGCAAGCCUGAUCCAGCAAUGCCGCGUGCAGGAUGAAGGCCUUCGGGUUGUAAACUGCUUUUGUACGGAACGAAAAGCCCCGGGUUAAUACCCUGGGGUCAUGACGGUACCGUAAGAAUAAGCACCGGCUAACUACGUGCCAGCCGCCGCCGUAA